This 304-nucleotide ribosomal RNA is filed under the name uncultured bacterium. Its description in RNAcentral is "partial 16S ribosomal RNA". It matches the Rfam family "Bacterial small subunit ribosomal RNA", at positions 509 to 807 of the family's 1533-position model. The record is from RNAcentral.
CAGCAGUCGCCGCGGUAAUACGUAGGGUGCAAGCGUUAAUCGGAAUUACUGGGCGUAAAGCGUGCGCAGGCGGUUAUAUAAGUCAGAUGUGAAAUCCCCGGGCUCAACCUGGGAACUGCAUUUGAGACUGUAUGGCUAGAGUGUGUCAGAGGGGGGUAGAAUUCCACGUGUAGCAGUGAAAUGCGUAGAUAUGCGGAGGAAUACCGAUGGCGAAGGCAGCCCCCUGGGAUAACACUGACGCUCAUGCACGAAAGCGUGGGGAGCAAACAGGAUUAGAUACCCGCGUAGUCCCUGUCUCUUAUAC